RNAcentral lists this ribosomal RNA (252 nucleotides) under uncultured bacterium. RNAcentral's name for it is "partial 16S ribosomal RNA". It matches the Rfam family "Bacterial small subunit ribosomal RNA", at positions 524 to 776 of the family's 1533-position model. The record is from RNAcentral.
UACAUGGGGUGCAAACGUUGCUCGGAAUCAUUGGGCGUAAAGCGCGCGUAGGCGGUUAUUUAAGUUGGAUGUGAAAGCCCUCGGCUUAACUGAGGAAGUGCAUCCAAAACUGAAUAGCUAGAGUACGAAAGAGGGUCGCGGAAUUCCCGGUGUAGCGGUGAAAUGCGCAGAUAUCGGGAGGAACACCGGUGGCGAAGGCGGUUCUCUGGGCCUACCUGACGCUGAGGAGCGAAAGCGUGGGGAGCGAACAGG